This 165-nucleotide ribosomal RNA is filed under the name uncultured Bacteroidota bacterium. Its description in RNAcentral is "uncultured Bacteroidetes bacterium partial 16S ribosomal RNA". It matches the Rfam family "Bacterial small subunit ribosomal RNA", at positions 363 to 526 of the family's 1533-position model. The record is from RNAcentral. Lineage: Bacteria; Pseudomonadati; Bacteroidota.
UUUGGACAUGGUCGGAAGACUGAUCCAGCCUGCCGCGUGCAGGAUGAAGGUCCUAUGGAUUGUAAACUGCUUUUGUAAGGGAAGAAUAAGGAGUACGUGUACUUUGAUGACGGUACCUUACGAAUAAGCAUCGGCUAACUCCGUGCCAGCAGCCGCGGGUAAUAU